This 497-nucleotide ribosomal RNA is filed under the name uncultured bacterium. RNAcentral's name for it is "partial 16S ribosomal RNA". It matches the Rfam family "Bacterial small subunit ribosomal RNA", at positions 28 to 507 of the family's 1533-position model. The record is from RNAcentral.
GAUGAACGCUGGCGGCGUGCCUAAUACAUGCAAGUCGAGCGAACAGACGAUGAUCUUGCUCCUCUGACGUUAGCCGCGGACGUGUGAGUAACACGUGUAUAACCUACCUAUAUUACUGGUAUAACUUCGGGAAACCGGAUCUAAUACCGUAUAAUAUAUUGAACCGCAUUGUUCAAUAGUAAAAUACGGUUUUUCUGUCACUUAUAGAUGGAUCGGCGCCGCAUUAGAUAGUUGUUAAGGUAACGGCCUACCAAGGCAACGAUGCGUAGACGAAGGGAGAGGGUGAUAGGCCACACGGGAAGUGAGACACGGACCAGAGUACUACGGGAGGAAGCAGUAGGGAAUGUUAGGCAAUGGGCGAAAGCAUGACGGAGCAAGGCCGAGUGAGAGAUGAAGGUCUUGGGAUCGUAAAAAUCUGUUAUUAGGGAAGAACAAAUGUGUAAGUAAAUAUGGAGGUAUUGACGGUAACUAAUAAGAAAGCAACGGCUAACUACGUG